UACGUAGGGUGCGAGCGUUGUCCGGAAUUAUUGGGCGUAAAGGGCUCGUAGGCGGUUUGUCGCGUCGGGAGUGAAAACACUGGGCUUAACCGAGUGCUUGCUUUCGAUACGGGCAGACUUGAGGCAUUCAGGGGAGAACGGAAUUCCUGGUGUAGCGGUGAAAUGCGCAGAUAUCGGGAGGAACACCAGCGGCGAAGGCGGCACUCUGGGCUGGAACUGACGCUGAGGAGCGAAAGCGUGGGUAGCAAACAGG
This 253-nucleotide ribosomal RNA is filed under the name uncultured bacterium. RNAcentral describes it as "partial 16S ribosomal RNA". It matches the Rfam family "Bacterial small subunit ribosomal RNA", at positions 524 to 776 of the family's 1533-position model. The record is from RNAcentral.